GAUGAAGAACGUAGCGAAAUGCGAUAAGCAAUGCGAAUUGCAGAAUUCCGUGAGUCAUCGAAUCUUUGAACGCACAUUGCGCCCUCUGGUAUUCCGGAGGGCAUGCCUGUCUGAGCGUCAUUGUCAACCCUCAAGCUCAGCUUGCUGUUGGGUCCCCGUCGUUGCUUUAACGGCGGACCCGAAAGGUAAUGGCAGAGUCCGUGAGACCCUAGACGCAGCGAGCUUCUAGCACGCGUCUGGACGUUUUUCGGGCUCGGUCUUAACUAGAUGAUAACUUCCGAUUGACCUCAGAUCAGGUAGGGAUACCCGCUGAACUUAAGCAUAUCAAUAAGCGGAGGA
This 339-nucleotide unclassified non-coding RNA is filed under the name soil metagenome. Its description in RNAcentral is "partial contains 5.8S ribosomal RNA, internal transcribed spacer 2, and large subunit ribosomal RNA". The stretch from base 1 to 120 matches the Rfam family "5.8S ribosomal RNA", at positions 35 to 154 of the family's 154-position model. The record is from RNAcentral.